UCCCCGAUAGGUCUAGUGGUGAGGAUAUCUGCUUGUCAUUGAAACUUCAACGAUUCGCAGGGGACCGGGGUUCAAUUCCCCGUCGAGGAG
Molecule: transfer RNA, 90 nt
Filed under: Colletotrichum acutatum
Lineage: Eukaryota; Fungi; Ascomycota; Sordariomycetes; Glomerellales; Glomerellaceae
Description: tRNA-Asp
Rfam family: tRNA
About the family: Transfer RNA (tRNA) molecules are approximately 80 nucleotides in length. Their secondary structure includes four short double-helical elements and three loops (D, anti-codon, and T loops).
Source: RNAcentral